UAUUUUAACGUCAUCGUCGUGAAUUAACGAAAAACAGAGUUAUUGGUGUAACUAAUAACAUCCUACACAGAGGAAAAGAUUUGUGCGCAAUUAGAUCAUGCAACAAGUGUUGUGACGUUUAAAUAAACCUUUCUAAAAUUUUGAAUUUAUAAAGUAAUUUAAUUUAGUUUAUUGCAUUCUCUUGCAAUUCAGAAUGGAGCUUAAUGAGGGGACGUCAGCUAUUAUCCCAGCAAGACGUGCAGCGUAUUUUCCACACCAUAUUUACAAUCAUCGACAUCCACUUUUUAUUUUCAACUCGAAACAUAGUUUAGUAGUGACUAGGAGUAGGCGGUGCUGCUAACGAGUUUUUACUCUCGUCUACAUAAUCGUUAUUGAGUAUUCUUUUGUUCUGUGUAAUUCCUGUAAGAGAUCUUACAGCUUUGUGAUGGAGAAUUUAAAAUGUUUAGGGGCCAGAUCGCUCAUCUAUAAAAAAGAAAAGUUUAUUAAAUGAAUAAUAAAAUAAAUAUAUUUGUGAUGAUAAUCUUUUUUUUUUUUUUUUUUUUUCAAAUAAAGUCAACCAGCUCCUGAAUACAGUUCACCAUCCAUAGUACGAAUAAACAUUAUCCUUAAAUGUAACAGUGAAUUUAGGUUAAUAGUGUAAUAUAUGCCGCAGUACUUUUCAUUAUAAGUUUUUCUUUCAAUUUACGUUAUUAUUACUAAUCUAUAAAUGUGAAUUUUGAAAGAAAUGUUAAAUAUGUGCUAAAACACAUUGGUCUACUAAGACUGAAGUUGAAAACAGUCUUUGAAUGCAAAAAUAUACUCUGGAAGCAGUCAUGUGUCAUAUACAAAGAGUAGCACAUUCCAUUAUAUCAAAUGAUCCUGGAAGAUACUUCAGCAGGUACGAAAGGAGGAGGUCGGUAACGAUAUCUAUACAGCUUUUUCAUGAAUCGAUGUUCAAGUGCGCAAAAAAAGCUCACAGUACAAUGUAUCUUCCAAGACAGCUUCCUUCCAAAGACUGAGUAAUACGAAUAUGUAGAAUUAUACAAAUAUUUCAAAUUUAUGUCCGGUUACAUAUACAAAUUGUUUUAAAUGGUCAAUGCUAAUGACAGUGGACGAACUACUGACUUAUUUUUCAGUUUGAUGAGUGGAAUUGGUGGAAGACAAAUUCCAAUUUCUCUUUAAAACAAGCCACAUAACUGAGCUCUAGAUCUUCUCUUUAUUAUCCAAUAAAUCUGUAAUUUCACUGUAAAGCAAUUAUUAGAAUUUGUAAAGAAACUUAAAAAUAACUUAACUUUCAACUUUCUCAUGGUUUCGUCUGAUGUUAAAUCAUUGCUCUCUAAUGUUCUGAUGAAAGGUGCUCUAAAUUGUCAACAAAUAAGCUUGAAGAAAUUCAUUACUCACAUAUUAAAGAAUCAUUCUCAUUUAUCCAACUAUUUCACAACCAAAUGCAUUUUAUUUUCUUGAAUAAUUCUUAUCAGCAAACUAAGACAUUAGCCAGAGGGAGUCCACGCAAUCAUAUUCUCGUUGAUAUUUACAUGUACUAAAUUUUGAAACAAAAGUAUUUAAUAAACUUUACGUUUUGGAUACGUUACGUCGAUGAAACAUUUGUCCACUUUGAUGACAGUGAAGAAAAUUUAUCUCACAAAACUCUCAGUCACAGAAGUACUAUAGAUGCUUCCCAUUCAGCUCAGGUUUGAACUCGACAC
This 1685-nucleotide unclassified non-coding RNA is filed under the name Stegodyphus dumicola. RNAcentral describes it as "uncharacterized LOC118195674, transcript variant X2". The record is from RNAcentral. Lineage: Eukaryota; Metazoa; Arthropoda; Arachnida; Araneae; Eresidae.